GCUCAGAGGUAAACGGGUGGAGUUGAACUGCAAGCCCAGGGAAUUCAGCUGGUGAACUUGGUUUGAGCUUGGUCAAAUUGGUUGUACACUGAGGUCUGUGUAGCAGCAGGUCUCUGCCUUCGGGUAGGGAUGCGCGAGGCACUCAGCAAGUGUUGCGCGCUUCAGAUGUAUUCGGGCCAGUUUGCCAGUGCAUUUUCUCUGGGUGUUCACCAUGACCGGCACUGCUGUCUGGCUGUUGUGGUUAAACCGGCUUUGCAUCGUCCUUGUGGCUUUACUUGGUCGGGACGGCAGGUAGCCUGUGAGCUAGUCUGGGGCAACUCAGGCAAUUGGUUCAUGGGUGUAAUCAGCUGACCAUGAUGGUUCUGUGCAGUGUGUCGGAGACGGCGGCUUGUGGUGUGAGCAUGCGUGCUGCUUGCUGGCUUGUUCAGGUUUGGUUGCCAUGUUGCUUGUUCUACAGGCCUGGUGACAGCUUGGAUAUGUCUGGUGGGUUGUUGCGUGUGUGAUACUAUUUCCAGGGCCAAUAGUCUAUGGUGUAGUGGUAGACGAUCCACCUGACCCGUCUUGAAACACGGACCAAGGAGAGUAACAUGUGUGCGAGUCAUUGGGCGUAACGAAACCCACAGGCGCAGUGAAAGUAAAGGUUUGGCUUGUCCAGACUGAGGUGGGAUCCUGUCGUGCCAAACGCGCGGUACUACCAAGCAUUGAGCGGCAGGCGCACCACCGGCCCGUCCCAUGGCGUAGUCAUUGUUU
RNAcentral lists this ribosomal RNA (750 nucleotides) under Opechona pharyngodactyla. RNAcentral describes it as "partial large subunit ribosomal RNA". It matches the Rfam family "Eukaryotic large subunit ribosomal RNA", at positions 407 to 789 of the family's 3401-position model. Lineage: Eukaryota; Metazoa; Platyhelminthes; Trematoda; Plagiorchiida; Lepocreadiidae. The record is from RNAcentral.